This 240-nucleotide ribosomal RNA is filed under the name uncultured bacterium. RNAcentral's name for it is "partial 16S ribosomal RNA". It matches the Rfam family "Bacterial small subunit ribosomal RNA", at positions 524 to 762 of the family's 1533-position model. The record is from RNAcentral.
UACAGAGGGGGCAAGCGUUGUUCGGAAUUACUGGGCGUAAAGGGCGCGUAGGCGGCCUUCUAAGUCGAACGUGAAAUCCCCGGGCUCAACCCGGGAACUGCAUCCGAAACCAUCUCGCUCGAGUAUGGGAGAGGGAAGCGGAAUUCCUGGUGUAGAGGUGAAAUUCGUAGAUAUCAGGAGGAACACCAAUGGCGAAGGCAGCUCACUGGGACGGUAUUGACGCUGAGACGGCGAAAAGCG